GACGAAUUAAUUAAUAGAAUAGAAAUCCUAGUGAGAGUAGUAGUGGUUUGAUUGGAUACCAAAGAUGAUACGGAUUUGGAGACAGAGAAAUUAUACUUAACGCAUCGAUCUCGUAGCUCUGUGAAUGAAUGGCGUGGAGCAUUCAUAGCACUGGUUCGACUCCAGACCGAGAUAUGUCACACAUUGCAUAGAGAAAGAGUUGAAGCUUUUUUUGAAUAGAAGUUGGGUAGGAACGCGAAAGGGGUGGGGCCCUGUGGUUAGCCUGUGAGGGAUUGAUGAUCUACUCUGGAAAGGGACGCAAUUGUAUAACUAAACCAAGCUGAUUUUUUCCACGCUGUGCUCUUCUUUUGUUUUGAGGUUUAUCACCAUGCCUAUCGGUUAGCCGGAGAAGAGAGCCCUAUCGUCUAAGUAAGCGGCUUUGCCUUUAGCCUUUUUAAUUA
RNAcentral lists this long non-coding RNA (440 nucleotides) under Panax ginseng (ginseng). RNAcentral describes it as "long non-coding RNA (PGIN_LNC009246)". The record is from RNAcentral. Lineage: Eukaryota; Viridiplantae; Streptophyta; Magnoliopsida; Apiales; Araliaceae.